GUGUGAGCCUCCCCUUUGAGCGCACGUGGUAUCGGAAGGUCCCGAAUAGUCUUCUCACUGUCGCUGUCUCUCUCUCUCCCCUCUCUCUCUCUAUCUCUCUCUCGCGCCGGACAGUUUCUCACAGCUGACCUGUGCCAAGGGGGCAGCAGCAGGUGCUUGGCUGACCUCGUCUGCGGGGUGUAGUCGCAGAGAGAGAGGCAGAAAAGCUCUCUUGUCUAUUCUUUGAUAGAUAAGGGAACUUUUUUUGUAAUUCGCAAACUUUUUUUUUUUUAAGAUUUUCCCCAAAGGCGCGACAGAAAGUUUAGCUCCGGAAACAGAGUCGUUCAAUAAAAGAAUAAGCAAAGCAAAAGCCGAAAACAAAAACAAAAAAAAAGUUGGCGUAAACUUCUCAAAACUAUAAAGAUUUGGUUGAGUGUCCGCUAUAGUUCACUAUAGUCCUUUGAGUUGGAGUUUUAACUCGCGUGGUGUCGUCCAAUUCGCAAAGUUCGAAGACCUCCACCACGAAUGACCACCCUUGAGGAUAACGACGACAUUCGACGAGCAGCCUAAGAAGAUCCUUUUACCAAUACUAUUGCUAUUUGUGAACGUCUGGGAUUAAAUGUUUAGGCUAUGAUGGUGCGAAGACGUCUGCAUGAGGCAGGAAUACCUCAUAGAAUUCUUGCCAAGAAGGAAUUUCUCGGCAUCGUGCUGAUAGGCUUGCCUUCGUUCAACGGUUUGUGGGGGAGGAUAUGGAAUUUUGGUCUCGAGUCGUAUGCAGUGACGAAAGGUCUUUUACUAGCAGAAGUCACGGCAGAAUACAUAACUGAAGACUGAGUAAUAUAAGAUACUACAGAAGAAAUUUACGAGGUGACCAGGAAUGGGCAUGUCACAGUAAACGUGUGGGGCUGGAUCUUCUUACAUUAUAUGGAUGAUAUCACCAGGAUUGAGUGGAGGCUCACUGGUAAAAAAUACAUUGAAAUUCUUCAGGAUUUCUAACUUCUUUCACUUCAACAGCGGAAUUAUUCCUCCCCACCUGCUCCAGUCAUUUUCAUUCACGACCGCUGCCCCAUCCAUACGGCCAGAAUAGUCCAGGAAUGGUUUCAAGGUCGAGAGGAUCUGCAGUUGCUUGACUGGCCAAGUAAGGCGAAUCAGUGCCUCAACAAAGAGAAUUCCAGCGGUAAGAGCGAGUUUAUAAAUGGAAGCAACAAAGGGCAGAGGUAGAAAUAGAUAAUCAAUACAUGCAAACAGAUUAUGUUUCCACAUACAAGGUAAG
This is a long non-coding RNA of Macrobrachium nipponense, 1252 nucleotides long. RefSeq lists it as uncharacterized. The transcript has 5 exons. The record is from RefSeq and is a predicted model, not a curated record. Lineage: Eukaryota; Metazoa; Arthropoda; Malacostraca; Decapoda; Palaemonidae.